Molecule: unclassified non-coding RNA, 3999 nt
Filed under: Hevea brasiliensis (rubber tree)
Lineage: Eukaryota; Viridiplantae; Streptophyta; Magnoliopsida; Malpighiales; Euphorbiaceae
Source: RNAcentral
CACAGACACUGUACAAAGUGAAAACCCAAAAUUAAUCGGAAGCUUACGAGAGACGCCCUCCAAAAGACCCAGAGAUUCUUCCUGCGACUCUUGCGCACGUACCUAUAUAUAAGCGAGAGCGAGUGCGAGUGCGAGUGAGAGUAUCUGCUCUUCUUUCUGACACAGAUAGAGAAAGAGAGAGCAAUGGCGACCCCUCCAAAGCCAUGGAAGGCGGAGUACGCGAAGUCCGGCCGAUCAUCAUGCAAGACCUGCAAGAAACCAAUCGAUAAAGAGAGUCUCAGACUUGGCAAAAUGGUCCAAGCCACUCAAUUCGACGGUUUCAUGCCUAUGUGGAACCAUGUUGGUUGCAUACUGAAGAAAGCAAAACAGAUAAAAUCGAUUGAUGACGUUGAAGGUAUAGAAUCAUUACGAUGGGAAGAUCAGCAAAACAUCAGAAAAUAUGUUGAGGGUGGUGGUUCCUCAAAUACAAAUGCUGUCAGUGCUAUGGAAUAUGGUAUUGAAGUUUCACAAACUUCUCGUGCUACUUGCAGGCGCUGCAACCAAAAGAUUAUGAAGGGACAGGUUCGUUUAUCCUCGAAGCCUGAAGAGCCACGAGCUAAGGGGUUGGCUUGGCAUCACUUCACCUGUUUUGUGGAUUUGUACCCAUCUAUCCAAGUGGAGAAGUUGUCUGGAUGGGAAAGUCUCCCACCUGCUGAUCAAGCAGCAGUUCAUGCACUUGUUAAGGACGUUCCUUCUACUGCAAAGAGUGGUGCUGUUGAGGGAAAAGAGGAUAAAGAAUUGCAACAAUCGACUUCCAGAGUUGGUAUAAAACGUAGAAAAGAUAGUGGUGAUGGUGAUGAUCAAAACUCAAAGGUUGCUAAGGCCGAUGGAGAUGUGUCAACUCGCAGGUCUGCAUCUACAAAGACUGCUAAGGAAUUGGAAAGCAAACUGGAGGCUCAAUCUAAAGAAUUGUGGGCUUUAAAGGAUAAUCUUAGAAAGCAUGUCACAACUGCAGAGUUGCGUCAAAUGCUUGAAGCAAAUGAUCAAGAUUCUUCUGGAGCAGAACUUGAUUUGCGGGACAGAUGUGCUGACGGGAUGAUGUUUGGAGCACUUGGUCAUUGCCCGAUCUGUUCUGGUUUUCUCCGAUAUUCUGGAGGAACAUAUCGGUGCAAUGGAUUCCUGUCAGAAUGGAGCAAAUGUUCAUAUUCCACUCAUGAACCAGAGCGCCUAAAGGGGAAGUGGAAAGUCCCAGAAGACACAAAUAAUCAAUAUCUAAGCAAUUGGUUUAAAUCACAGAAGAGUAACAAACCUGCUAGGGUUCUGCCUCCACCAUCAUCUGAGAAUUCUUCUGGAACUCAAGCAGCCAACAGCCAAUCUCCAUCUUCAAAGAGUGAAAAUUUGAGAGAUCUGAAAGUUGCUUUUGCCGGAUUACCUAGGGAGUCUGUGGAAGAAUGGAAGGCCAAAAUUGAGGGAGUAGGCGGGCAGGUACAUGCCAAGAUAAAGAAAGAUACAAACUGCUUUAUUGUAAGUGGAGUAUCAGAUUGUGAAGAUGCUGAGAUGAGGAAGGCAAGGAGAAUGAAAUUGCCAAUGGUCAGGGAGGAUUACCUUGUUGAAUGUUUUAAAAAACACAAAAAGCUUCCAUUUAAUUUGUACAAAGUGGAAGCUGUAGGUGGAGCCUCUAGCAUGGUCACUGUCAAAGUGAAAGGGCGAAGUGCUGUGCAUGAAGCUUCUGGUUUGCAAGAUACAGGUCACAUUCUUGAGGAUGGGAAGAGCAUCUAUAAUACUACUUUGAACAUGUCUGACUUAUCAACUGGUGUUAACAGCUACUACAUCCUUCAGAUAAUCCAAGAUGACAAAGGGUCAGAUUGUCACGUGUUCCGUAAAUGGGGUCGUGUAGGGAAUGACAAAAUUGGAGGAAUUAAACUUGAAGAGAUGUCAAAAUCAGAUGCGGUCAGUGAAUUUGAACGUUUAUUCCUUGAGAAAACUGGAAAUUCAUGGGAGGCAUGGGAACAAAAGCAGAAUUUUCAGAAGAAACCUGGCAAAUUCUUCCCAUUGGAUAUUGAACUGCUUUUUUUAAUCUUUUAAUUUGCUUUAUUUUCAUUCUUUGGAAUGCUCCUACUUAGCUAGAAGGUAAUCAUUUCUUCUAGUUAUUCUUAACUGGCUGCAUUUUAGGACUACGGAGUCGAUGGAUAGCUGACAAACAAAAAGAGGAGGGAUGCAGACGGCUGUGGAAGCAUACAGGUAUAGCAACAGUCAUCUUUUUCCCUUUUUUUGUAAUUUUUGUCUGAAAUACGAAAUCUAAUAUUGUGCAGGGCUGCAAUGAUUGAAUUUGAGAUUAAUAUGUCAGAAAUGCCACUUGGGAAAUUAAGCAAAAAUAAUAUCCAGAAGGGUUUUGAGGCAUUGACAGAAAUCCAGAGUUUAUUAAAUAGUACCACACAUGACCCUUCCAUCAAAGAAAGCUUGAUUAUUGACGCCAGCAACAGAUUUUUCACUGUUAUCCCUUCUAUUCAUCCUCAUGUUAUUAGAGAUGAAGAUGAUUUUAAGUUGAAGGUGAAAAUGUUAGAAGCACUCCAGGAUAUUGAGAUAGCUUCCAGAUUAGUGGGUUUCGAUGCUGAUAACGAUGACUCCUUUGAUGAUAAGUACAGGAAGCUUCAUUGUGAGAUAAAUCCACUUCCUCAUGAUAGUGAGGAUUACCGGUUGAUUGAGAAGUACCUUCAUAAUACUCAUGCUCCUACUCAUACGGAUUGGAGUCUUGAACUGGAAGAAGUUUUUUCACUAGAAAGGAAAGGGGAAAUUGAUAAGUUUGCUCCCUACAGAAAAAAGCUCAAGAAUAGAAUGCUACUCUGGCAUGGUUCUCGGUUGACUAACUUCGUGGGAAUACUUAGCCAAGGACUUAGAAUAGCUCCUCCUGAAGCUCCAGCAACUGGAUAUAUGUUUGGUAAAGGAAUUUACUUUGCUGACCUGGUUAGUAAGAGUGCUCAGUACUGCUAUACUGAUAAGAAAAAUCCAGUGGGAUUAAUGCUUCUUAGUGAAGUUGCCUUAGGAGAGGUCUGUGAGCUGAAGAAUGCCAUGUAUAUGGACAAACCUCCUGAAGGAAAGCAUUCAACAAAAGGACUUGGCAAGAAAGUACCUCAGGAGUCGGAAUUUGUGAAGUGGAGCGAUGAUGUCAUUGUUCCUUGUGGUAAACCAGUGCCAUCAAAAGUCAAGGUCUCUGAGCUGAUGUAUAAUGAGUACAUUGUCUAUAAUACAGCUCAAGUUAAGAUGCAGUUCUUGUUGAAGGUUAGGUUUCAUCAUAAGAGGUGAUGUUUCCUAGUGCCGAGGGGUUAGAAUGAGAUGCAGUUCUUGUUGAAGGUUAGGUUUCAUCAUAAGAGGUGAUGUUUCCUAGUGCCGAGGGGUUAGAAUGAGAUGCAGUUCUUGUUGAAGGUUAGGUUUCAUCACAAGGGGUGAUAUUUCCUGGUGCUUAGGGGGUAGAAUGGCAUGCAAGUAGAUUAUUAUUUUGAAAUCCGGCCUGUAUUCUGCAAGCAGAUUUAUGUCUAGAUAAGGUCUCAUUUUGGAGAGAAGUAAAAACUUGGGUUUUGUCUAUGUAAAUAGUAUGAGCAUGGUGGAAUGUUUAAAUAGAAUAUUUUCAGAAGAAUAUCAGCUUUUAUAUUAAGCGGUUAUUAUGCCUUUAUGGGGUAUUGUCUUAGAUGGAGCAGGAUUUUCAUAGCCAUGCAAGCGUAUGAGCACCUGGGCCUCAUGGAAAUGUGAUGUUUAGUAAGUUAACCCACUCUUCAUUUUAUGGAACAAACAGGUGGCGAUUACCAUCCGUCGUAAUGAGCUUUGUCAGUAAGAUCCAUGCCUCUAUAAAUAUCGAGCUAUUUCUUGAAACAGCUUUUAGACGGUAGCCAGGGGUUGCUGUUGAUGUCCACCUAAGAAUUAGGACUAACUGGAACCAACACGAUGUUUGUGGAAUCUUUACUGGACGUUUGCGUAUGUAUUGUCUUUGUUUAUGUUGAGUAAUUUGUCCGAAUUUAAGAUCAA